ACUGCGAAGCCCAGCUGCGCGCGCCUUGGGAUUGACUGUCCACGCUCGCCCGGCUCGUCCGACGCGCCCUCCGCCAGCCGACAGACACAGCCGCACGCACUGCCGUGUUCUCCCUGCGGCUCGGACACAUAGUAUGACCAUUAGGUGUUUCGUCUCCCACCCAUUUUCUAUGGAAAACCAAGGGGAUCGGGCCAUGAUAGCCACUGGCAGCUUUGAAGAACGGGACACCUUUAGAGAAGCUUGAUCUUGGAGGCCUCACCGUGAGACCUUACAAAGCCGGCUCUGACCUGGACCCCUCAUCCCUGCCUGUCUUGUGGUGUAAGUGCGGAUCCCCCUAAGUUGGAGGAAAGGAAACUGGCCCAAACAAAAAGGAGAGCAGUUUUCUCUGCAUCACAUGGUAGGCCAGGAGGAGUCUAAUGCCCCAGAGUUUACUCUCAGCCCCCAAAAUCACCUAGCUAAAUGUUACCUUAUCUAAGAAGUCCUUAGGUUUUUUGGGGUUUGUUUUUUUUUUUUUUGAGACAAGGUCUCACUCUCUCACCCAGACUGGAGCACAGUGGCACAAUCACAGCUCACUGCAGCCUCAACCUCCUGGGCUCAAGCAAUCGUCCCAAGUAGCUGGGACUAUAGGCCUGCACCACCAUGUCCAGCUAAUUUAUUUUUAUUUAUAUUUUUUAGACAGGGUCUCAUUAUGUUGCCCUGGCUGGUCUUGAACUCCUGGGUUCAAGCAGUCCUCCCACCUCUGCCUCCCAAAGUGCUAGGUUUUUUUUUGUUUGUUUGUCUGUUUUUUGAAACAGAGUCUUGCUCUGUCGCCUAGGCUGGAGUGCAGUGGCACGAUCUCAGCUACUGCAACCUCCACCUCCUGGGUUCAAGUGAUUCUCCUGCCUCAGCCUCCUAAGUAGUUGGGAAUACAGGCGUGUGCCAACACACCCAGCUCAUUUUUGUAUUUUUAGCGGAGAUGGGGUUUUGCCAUGUUGGCCAAGCUGGUCUCAAACUCCUGACCUCAGGUGAUUCGCCCGCCUCAGCCUCCCAAAGUGCUGGGUUUACAGGCGUGAGCCACCACACCCAGCCCAAGAAGUCUUUUCUGAUCACCCACUCUUCCUUCUCUCCCAAUGGCAUUAGUUGUUCCCUCCUUUGCAUUUUGAGAGUAUGUCCUGUAAGCCCCAAAUGCAGCUUGAAUCAUCUGCCCAUCCACCCCCUGUGCCCAACAGUAAGCCUCCUCUAGAGUAGAUACUAUCUCCUGCAUCUCAGUGAACCACUGCCCAGCAAAGCAGUCUUGCUAAAACAAUGACUCUAGAGAUCCUAAGCUGUGUGAGAGCUGGAGGAGAGAAUUAGACUGAUGGUCUGGGAAGGGAUUGAAUUAGUCAUCUUGUACCUUUUCUUCUUGACUUAAGUUCCAGACCUGUAGCAACCAUUCCUGCUUAGACAUCCAGAACAUAAGCCUAUGGGUCUGUGCCUGUUGGGUCUUAGUCUGGGUGAAACUUUUCUCUACUUCUGUCAGCUCUCCAGAUGAACCACAGAAGCAGGAAUGUGGGCAUCAUCAGUGAAAUCUCUGCAUACAGCAGACAAAGGGCUGGUCCAGUGGCUGUUUAUGAGGCAGCGCUAGGAGAGCUCUGAUCCAGACUCUCCCUGCAGUGAAAGGGAGGGAGCCCUUCAUGAAGUAUUGACUGCUUGAGCAGGAAUUGCUUCACCAGCACCUAACUGAGUGCCUCUCGAGCUCACAUCGGUUUUCCCUCAUGAGGCCACUUGGAGUCUUGCUGAGGGACUUGGUUCUAUUAGGGAAGGUGAGUUUGGGGAUGGUGAGCAGGGAGGGCCUGGGGACAUUGUGGCUAAUGGGGCUUUUCUCCUCUUGGCUUAGAUUCCGGCAGAGUUCCUCUAUCUCGUCUUGUUGCUGAUUAAAGGUGCCCCUGUCUCCAGUUUUUCUCCAUCUCCUGGGACGUAGCAGGAAAUCAGCAUCAUGGUUGGGUUCAAGGCCACAGAUGUGCCCCCUACUGCCACUGUGAAGUUUCUUGGGGCUGGCACAGCUGCCUGCAUCGCAGAUCUCAUCACCUUUCC
Molecule: long non-coding RNA, 2052 nt
Filed under: Homo sapiens (human)
Lineage: Eukaryota; Metazoa; Chordata; Mammalia; Primates; Hominidae
Description: HSALNT0178164
Source: RNAcentral